This 226-nucleotide ribosomal RNA is filed under the name uncultured bacterium. RNAcentral's name for it is "partial 16S ribosomal RNA". It matches the Rfam family "Bacterial small subunit ribosomal RNA", at positions 111 to 339 of the family's 1533-position model. The record is from RNAcentral.
UAAUAUAUAGUUAACUUGCCUUCUAGAAGGGGAUAAUUGUUGGAAACGACUUGUAAGACCCUAUAUGCCUUUAUCACAUAAGUGAGCAAGGGAAAUAUUUAUAGCUAGAAGAUAGGACUGUACGGUAUCAGUUAGUUGGUGAGGUAAUGGCUCACCAAGACUAUGACGCCUAACUGGUUUGAGAGGAUGAUCAGUCACACUGGAACUGAGACACGGUCCAGACUCC